CUCAGGUAAAAGUACAAAAUCUGAAAUAUAACUAGCUGACAUAUGAUACAAGAAAACGUUGUCUAGGUUUAUGCUUAUCACUGUCUACAUGGUCCCGUAAUAAACUCGACAUUUCAAAGUACGAAGUUUGUUGCUAAAGCACAAGCUCACUUCGCACUUCCGCGGCUGUGCCCUCGAUAACACCCGCCUUGGUGGGAAAGAAACGGGUGGUGUCGGGUCUACGGCUGUAGAUAUGACGGGUCAGCCUCACCGCGCGCGGUUUUCUCCGGUGGAAUGUACAGUCGAGCCGCAUGUGAGGGUACUUCAUGGCACAGCUGAUGCCCGGAGGGAUUAAAGGGAGGCAGCCAAACUAGAUGAGCAAGAUACAGUUAGCCUAUAAUGUCAACACAUGAUCUGAAGUUGCAGCAGUCAAGUUGUCAAAGCGGAGUGAAAGCCAGCGUGACUUGCUAUUUCCCAGAUCAGGAGAUAUUGUACACACAAACUGACAAAUCACGUUUUCAGAAUGUAAGUGAACAUGAGAAGUUACAUCCUGGACCACUGGCUCAACACAUCCACAACAAGAAAGAUUUAGAAACUAGAACUAUUGCAUCUUCACCAUCAUCGCAGUUAACAGGCCAGCUGAAAAGCAGCAGAGAUUUACAGAUCAGGCAAGUAAUACUUCUCAGAUCUAAGGAAGACUCCAGUAGGACAUCUGAAGAACAGAGGAAAUCUGCCAGAUUCACUUCCACCAUCUCUAUCAGUCUUCCUAAUAGAAGAAACAAAAAAGACACGGCGGUGGAAAAAACACUGCAUGCUACAACUAACCUUUACAGCACACAUGAAGCCGUAAAAAACACAGCUAAUCAAAACCACACAGAGCUAAGAGACGUGCUUUCACCAACUGAGCAAUGUGGUGAAUCAACUGGUGAAUUCUUUAAGAAUAGGGAUGGGCCAAAAGCAAGCUUUGAUGAAGACAGUUUUACCACUCUGCAUCAACAUGGACAUAACACACCAAAACAGGGACAAAAUACAGGAAUACAACACAACAUAGGCCUUCAUGAACAAACGCAAAUUGUCUACAACGGCUCACAAAGACAUUCUACUCAACCUGUUUGUAAGGUUCAAACAGAAUUCAACAAGGAAUCUGGAGCCAGCGACUGUAGAAAGAAUGCUGCAACAACUCCACAGUACCACAGUAAUCUGACCUCCUUUGAAGUGGACAAUGGUCUAAAAGCAAGCACUGAUUCCCAGUUUUUUGCACACCAUUCAGAAGUAGUAAACCAGGUCUUGCCAUUAGACUCUUUUCCUGCUCCUCAUUCUGAAAGUACCCCUGAGCCAGAACCUGGUCUUAACAAUCCUACAUCAACUAUGUUGACAUCAGCCCUGGUCUCAGUUCUUGCUCCACCUUGGAGUGGCCGUCUUCGAAGACCCAAGCAAGGCGGCAGCGAAGUACAGCAUGAACCCCAAGAUUGUGCACAGAAUGUCAACCCAUCUACCUUAUUUCGCCAGGAUCAGCACCAACAACCAUUUCUUCCUUCCCAGAGGCAACCAUCUGAACACAUGUUGGCCAAUGACAAUGACAUGCAGUUGACUGCAGGAACCAGCUGUAACUCUCCUGACUGGCAAAAAGAGAACAAUUCCCCAAACAUCACAACCACAAUACAGCCAAAGAGACCCAUUAUUAAAUCCUCCUCUGUGGGCAUGAUGUACAAUAAUACAGAUUUGCAUCCUUUUCCCACACCUCUGGACACUCAUCAGGUACCAAAUUUGGCCCAUUCAGGGUACAGAAUAUCAAAAACUGGAGAUGAACAUCAGCCUUUCAAAUCAUUGAGCUCUAAGCCAACAACAAGCACCCUACUUCUUUCCUUGAGGAGGUCAAAUUUGAGAAGCUCCAGUGCUGAGCCCACACAAUCACAGACUCCGAUGACUAGGUCUGUCAGGUCCCUUACAUUGCCUAGCAGAGUUGUUUUGAAAACUCCGUCAUUUGCCCAUUCUGUUACCGCUGAUGACCAAACCCCCAAAGACACUCCUGCAAGAACAGAGGAAAUACCAGUCAGUCAGUUCCCUUUCUCACAUGGAAUUAAGAGUAGAGUGCCAUUAAGGAAAUCACUGUUUCUAAACAAACCAGAGACGGCAAUUUCAAAGAGACUAGAAGCUUCUGUUGCCAGAGUAGAGGAGGAACGUUUCCCAAUGUCCACAACCAAAACCGGCCAACUUGGGGUUCUCAGAGCUCAACAGAGCUCUUAUUCAGUGUUUUCGAGGAAAUAUUCCAGUACAGAGGACAUAGAUCUAGUGGAACUAAAUGCUGCCAACAACAACAACCUGCAAAACUCCAGUAUGACCAGACAAAAAGUAACUCCAGAUACCACAUUUUCUCCCAAAGUUUUAACAAAUUUUAAUGUUCAACAAUCUGGCUUUAAUGUUCAAAAAUUUAAAUCACAAAGUACACACAAUAUAAUAGCCAGUAGUUCAUCAGGCACAAGCACCUUCACAGACAGGCUUAACUACUCACCAAGGAAAGACUCUUCUGUAGAUGGAACAAGUCCCACAAAUGUGGGGCAGAUAUAUCUGGACUCUAAGAAAUAUUCUCAGUCAAGUCAAAGCACAAUGGAUCUUUCGAGCCUUCUUUCUCCAAGCAGACCUCUCAGAAGUGUAAGAGUACCAAGCAUUUAUUCAUACCUAAGGGAGUCCAGCUCAGCUAUGUCCACCCCUUUCCCUUCUACCCCUUCUUCCCACAUACAGAAAGGUGAAACAUUGCCUCCUGAGCAAAAUGGAGGUGGAACACUACAGGGUGACCGGAAAACACUUCCUUCAAGAUUUUCAUUUGACUUUGUACCACAGGUAGAAGCAUUACAAAGAAGCUCUUAUGGCUCCAGCUCUCAUAUAGCACCAGCUCAAUCUCUGCCUCCUGAUUUUGGACGAAGAUCAGCACCUCGUCUCAGCACUUCUCCAUAUUCUAGCCUCAUCUCCUCACGACCUACACUCAACAACACUUUACAAGAACUAUCCUCUCCACCUGUGUCCAAAACUCAUACCCGAACUACAUCUUAUGAUAUUGUAACCACUCCUGCAGACUUCAUUAAAGUUGAUCCAAUCUCUUCACUGUCCACAUACACAAGUAUAAUAAGAAGACCAAAGGAACAGUUAGCUUCUCCUAACAGAAAACAGAGGACAGCAGUUCAAGAUCAUACAAGCGCCCUAGAUAAUCACAAACCUGCCCAGCCAUGCCUCUUACAAGCUGCACCAGAUGCAAGUUUUUUCAUGGAAAGCCAAAGCUCAAAUAUAAGCCCACACCCAAGGCAGCCCAGCACAGGCUCUAACAACUUCUGUCAUCAGGAGCAUGAUGGCUUGAUGGAACUUCAGCUUGAUAAGGGUAAUGCUUACCCCAAGCACAGGCUGAGUGAGAACGAGAAGUAUUUAAUACCUGAUAAGCGCACAGUAGAAAAUAAGACUCCACUGAUAGCUGAGAGAGAGAUUCCCACUGUGCAUAGGCAUGAGAGACUGCAGGAAAUGCAAAGUUCCAAUUCAAAAAAAGGCCUCUUUAGUUCACGAGUUAAGAAAGACAAAGAAGCUGUCUGCUCUUCAGCUUCUAUGCCAGACAAAGAGGUUGUUAAUCCCCAGUAUUUAAAAACCAAAAGACAUUCAACAGUGUUUAAAACCAUCAGCAGGGUUGACCAGAUGUUAAAUCGCUUGAAACUGACAUUUGGUGUCAAACAUUCAGACAGCUCACUUGACGCACUAUCGAAAAAGAACAAGAGUCCCACUCGGCAACUCUCAGAUACUGAGACUUUUGAAAGUCCCAAGACAGAGGACAAAACAUGUUCUGAGAGCCACCCGGAACCUUCUAACUACUCUUUAACAACUGAUAAAACCACUUUAAAUUCCUUGUCACUACUAACAUUAAAAGAAUCUCAGAAUACAUUAAAUGUGGAUGAACAAAAUAAGUCUAUGGCUGAAAUAAAUUAUUCUGGGAGUACACGGGAGGCCCCCAACUCAUUCUUGACCACUGAUAAAGCCUCUUUUGCAUCUUUGUCACCACUUACAUUAAAGAAAUCUGAGAAUACUCAAAAUAUGAAUUGGCAAAACAGAUCUACAACUGAACAAAAGGGUUCUGGGUGCACAUGGGAGGAACCCAACUCAUCUUUGACCACUGAUAAAGCACCUUUGGCUUCUUUUGAGUCCUUGUCACCAUUAAUAUUAAAUAAAUCAUCUGAGAAUAUGUUAAAUGUUCAUCAGCAAAAGAGGCAUAGCGAUGAAAAUGGAAACCGCUCUUAUGGUAGGAGCUUUAGUCCACAUAGGCUAAAGGCCCAAAGUAUGAAUCGUUCUGCCACCUUGCCACAUUACAGAAAAUCCUCUGUCGGUCCCCCAUCACCCUUUUAUUUGUUUGAUUUUGAUUCAGAAGACAUUCAGAAUGACAAUGUGUUUUAUAGUCCAGUGUGCAAAAAAACAAAUUCACUGUGUGAGUCUGAUGACUUCUCUUCUCUGAACUCCACCAAGAGUCCCGUGCAGCAAAACCUUGUGAGGUCUCACUUGUCCUCGUCGUGUGCUGAUUUAAAGUAUGGUCUACACAAUGGACGAUCUUUCUCGGUAAGCAGUGUGGUUUCAAGCCGCCCAUCAGGUCCUGGACGAAUCUCAACAAGCAGCAUCAGCGACCUCUCAAGUUUGGAUGACUUUGUGCCGAAGGGGAAUUAUACAGUAGUUGACUCUCCAAUGAAUAGUAGCCAUUCUCCAGUCUGUGAUGCCAAAUCUAUCACUGGUAAACAGUCUGGACCUGGAUAUACAGAUGAUCUUGAUCUUGAUCAUUAUGAUGCAGACCCAACCCCACCUCCAUCACCAACUAUGUCCUCUUCACCUCGGCGGAUGUCCCAGGCACCUUCUGUGUCUUCCCCCAUGUGGACAACUCCAGAAAAUAUGUCUCCUUCUCGUGGAAUCCUGUCAUCAAGGAGCUACACAACCAGCUUGACUGUUUUUGAGGAGUCUGAUUCUGACACCACAACCGAAGAUGAAUACUAUCUUGACAAUUGUGAUGAUGCAGAAGAAACAGAACUUUAGAGGAGAGAAUUAUGUGUUGUUCAAUUCCAUCAUGUUUACAUAUACUGAACCUUUUAAAUUGGGGAGUGCGGGGGUUCUACGUUUAGGGUCUUCUACUACAAAGCUGCAGCAACAUUAGGCCUCUGUCAAGCCAAUCUAAAUUGUAAAAACAACUAGAAAUCCAGAUUGGAUAUGAAUAGAAAGAAAUAUAAUUAUAUCAGAAAUGUAAGACCAUGUUGAUUUCAUAUUUUUUGUUAUAAAUUAAAUAUAAUGGGCUUUUUGAAUACUUUAGUGUUUGAGGAUAGCAAUUUUUUAUUUCAUUAUGAAUUCAUAUACAAUACAGUACAUUAGGUUUUUUAUAUAUAUUUUCUGGAUCUUGAGUCUUUGAAAUGGUGAAUUCUCACAUCAUUCCUUUAUUGAGGCCUGCUUCCUGUAGGUUAUUGACUGUUUCAUUCACUGUGGCAUUUGAAAGCACAGCAUGUCAGUUACAAUACAUUAUUUUCCUGACAGACAUUCUAUAGUCAGUAGCUGUUAACUAAGAAACUGAACCCCAACUGUUUAACACAGGUGUUUGAAUUUUUUUCAUUUCAUACUGCUCCUUUAACAGUCAGAAAAGAAAAAAAAGAAUAGAACAAUUGAAGUGCCCCUGUAACACUGAUGAUUCCACAUUAAUUGCGGUUAAGUCUGUAAAGAAGAUGAUGUUACAGAAGUCUGCUAUCCAUUUGAUAUUACCGUUAAAAGUAUGAAAGUGUUAUUGAAAACUGGCUGAUCCUGGCAUAUGCAACAUCCGCAACUUGUUAAUUUGAGGUUCAAACAAGGCCUCUCACAAUCAUUGCAAAAGACAUACCACUAGAUGAACUAAGCAUUCUUAAAUAAGAUCUCACAGUUGAUUUUAUUUACUGUAUAAUUUAAUUGUGCUGUUUGUGUGCAUCAUGUUUGUGUGUGGCUUUCAGUGUAAUUUUAAUGGAUCUUUUAUUAUAAUUUAUUAUGCAGGGCAGGGGUUGGGGCAUCAUUUCUCCCCUAGAGCCUAGGGACCUCCAUAAGCUGUUAAGAUGCUCAAUUGCAGCACUGACAACAACACAGUAGGAAAUGCUGUAUAACAUAGUCCUACAUAUGUAAGGUCCUUUAUGUAAGGGAUUUCUUGAAUGUCUACAUUAAAUCGGUUAUAUUUAUUAACAUUUAAUAUAUUGAAUACACUGUAUUUUUCUUAAGGCAUAAGGCGAAUAAUAUUGAUCACUUAUUAAAAAAAUUAAUAAAGUAUCUGUAAAUGACAAACUUUGCACAUGACCUAAGUUAAACUGCUAUGCUAAAUUUUUAUUAGCAAGUACACUGUAGACUUAGUAAACUGUAUAACUCUAAUAACACAGAAAUUCCUUAAUUACAGCUCAUUAAAAACAUGCUGACACUGUUGCGUGUCAUGUCACAACCUGCCAUAAUUUCCAGUGAACAGUUAUGACUAUGAGUGAUGCAACCAAUUUAGCCCUCUUAUAUGAUCGAUGUUUCAGUAAUGGUUGGCAGGUUUGCGGAACAAGCAG
Long non-coding RNA from Cyprinus carpio carpio, 6545 nucleotides. NCBI's taxonomy places the organism in Eukaryota, Metazoa, Chordata, Actinopteri, Cypriniformes, Cyprinidae. The record is from Ensembl.